This is a long non-coding RNA of Astatotilapia calliptera (eastern happy), 399 nucleotides long. The record is from Ensembl. Lineage: Eukaryota; Metazoa; Chordata; Actinopteri; Cichliformes; Cichlidae.
AAACAGUGUGGCUGAGAGCUCCUCGACGCUGGAUCGUUGAGUGACUUCCCGUCAGUCUUAGUUUAUUGUGCAAGAAACGGAUCAGAAAUUUCUGGCACCACAUCGCAGCUCCUUCCACGGAGCCAAGCAUAAGAUCUAAUGAUGAAGAAACGCCUGCGACCUUUGAGAGAGAUUGAACAUUGUGUUUUUGAGUGACAGCAGAUUACUGUUUUUGGCGAGUGAUUGAAACUCCACGUGCCGCCAUGACCACCCCGUUUCCCUGAACGUAUAUAUACGUAUGUAUAAUAAUAAGUGUUCAAUGCUUGUACACAGUGUGGGGUUUUCUAAUAUUGUCACUAAUAAAAGAUGAAUAGAAUUUAAGAUGUUUUAAAUAAAGUGGAACUGCUGCCAACCUUUGAA